Molecule: ribosomal RNA, 490 nt
Filed under: uncultured bacterium
Lineage: Bacteria
Description: partial 16S ribosomal RNA
Rfam family: Bacterial small subunit ribosomal RNA
Source: RNAcentral
AUUGAACGCUGGCGGCAGGCCUAACACAUGCAAGUCGAACGGUAACAGGAAGAAGCUUGCUUCUUUGCUGACGAGUGGCGGACGGGUGAGUAAUGUCUGGGAAACUGCCUGAUGGAGGGGGAUAACUACUGGAAACGGUAGCUAAUACCGCAUAACGUCGCAAGACCAAAGAGGGGGACCUUCGGGCCUCUUGCCAUCGGAUGUGCCCAGAUGGGAUUAGCUAGUAGGUGGGGUAACGGCUCACCUACGCGACGAUCCCUAGCUGGUCUGAGAGGAUGACCAGCCACACUGGAACUGAGACACGGUCCAGACUCCUACGGGAGGCAGCAGUGGGGAAUAUUACACAAUGGGCGCAAGCCUGAUGCAGCCAUGCCGCGUGUAUGAAGAAGGCCUUCGGGUUGUAAAGUACUUUCAGCGGGGAGGAAGGGAGUAAAGUUAAUACCUUUGCUCAUUGACGUUACCCGCAGAAGAAGCACCGGCUAACUCCGUG